This 2639-nucleotide ribosomal RNA is filed under the name Escherichia coli. RNAcentral describes it as "partial 23S ribosomal RNA". It matches the Rfam family "Bacterial large subunit ribosomal RNA", at positions 289 to 2915 of the family's 2925-position model. Lineage: Bacteria; Pseudomonadati; Pseudomonadota; Gammaproteobacteria; Enterobacterales; Enterobacteriaceae. The record is from RNAcentral.
GGGGAGGAGCCCAGAGCCUGAAUCAGUGUGUGUGUUAGUGGAAGCGUCUGGAAAGGCGCGCGAUACAGGGUGACAGCCCCGUACACAAAAAUGCACAUGCUGUGAGCUCGAUGAGUAGGGCGGGACACGUGGUAUCCUGUCUGAAUAUGGGGGGACCAUCCUCCAAGGCUAAAUACUCCUGACUGACCGAUAGUGAACCAGUACCGUGAGGGAAAGGCGAAAAGAACCCCGGCGAGGGGAGUGAAAAAGAACCUGAAACCGUGUACGUACAAGCAGUGGGAGCACAGAGCAAUCUGUGUGACUGCGUACCUUUUGUAUAAUGGGUCAGCGACUUAUAUUCUGUAGCAAGGUUAACCGAAUAGGGGAGCCGAAGGGAAACCGAGUCUUAACUGGGCGUUAAGUUGCAGGGUAUAGACCCGAAACCCGGUGAUCUAGCCAUGGGCAGGUUGAAGGUUGGGUAACACUAACUGGAGGACCGAACCGACUAAUGUUGAAAAAUUAGCGGAUGACUUGUGGCUGGGGGUGAAAGGCCAAUCAAACCGGGAGAUAGCUGGUUCUCCCCGAAAGCUAUUUAGGUAGCGCCUCGUGAAUUCAUCUCCGGGGGUAGAGCACUGUUUCGGCAAGGGGGUCAUCCCGACUUACCAACCCGAUGCAAACUGCGAAUACCGGAGAAUGUUAUCACGGGAGACACACGGCGGGUGCUAACGUCCGUCGUGAAGAGGGAAACAACCCAGACCGCCAGCUAAGGUCCCAAAGUCAUGGUUAAGUGGGAAACGAUGUGGGAAGGCCCAGACAGCCAGGAUGUUGGCUUAGAAGCAGCCAUCAUUUAAAGAAAGCGUAAUAGCUCACUGGUCGAGUCGGCCUGCGCGGAAGAUGUAACGGGGCUAAACCAUGCACCGAAGCUGCGGCAGCGACACUAUGUGUUGUUGGGUAGGGGAGCGUUCUGUAAGCCUGUGAAGGUGUGCUGUGAGGCAUGCUGGAGGUAUCAGAAGUGCGAAUGCUGACAUAAGUAACGAUAAAGCGGGUGAAAAGCCCGCUCGCCGGAAGACCAAGGGUUCCUGUCCAACGUUAAUCGGGGCAGGGUGAGUCGACCCCUAAGGCGAGGCCGAAAGGCGUAGUCGAUGGGAAACAGGUUAAUAUUCCUGUACUUGGUGUUACUGCGAAGGGGGGACGGAGAAGGCUAUGUUGGCCGGGCGACGGUUGUCCCGGUUUAAGCGUGUAGGCUGGUUUUCCAGGCAAAUCCGGAAAAUCAAGGCUGAGGCGUGAUGACGAGGCACUACGGUGCUGAAGCAACAAAUGCCCUGCUUCCAGGAAAAGCCUCUAAGCAUCAGGUAACAUCAAAUCGUACCCCAAACCGACACAGGUGGUCAGGUAGAGAAUACCAAGGCGCUUGAGAGAACUCGGGUGAAGGAACUAGGCAAAAUGGUGCCGUAACUUCGGGAGAAGGCACGCUGAUAUGUAGGUGAAGCGACUUGCUCGUGGAGCUGAAAUCAGUCGAAGAUACCAGCUGGCUGCAACUGUUUAUUAAAAACACAGCACUGUGCAAACACGAAAGUGGACGUAUACGGUGUGACGCCUGCCCGGUGCCGGAAGGUUAAUUGAUGGGGUCAGCGCAAGCGAAGCUCUUGAUCGAAGCCCCGGUAAACGGCGGCCGUAACUAUAACGGUCCUAAGGUAGCGAAAUUCCUUGUCGGGUAAGUUCCGACCUGCACGAAUGGCGUAAUGAUGGCCAGGCUGUCUCCACCCGAGACUCAGUGAAAUUGAACUCGCUGUGAAGAUGCAGUGUACCCGCGGCAAGACGGAAAGACCCCGUGAACCUUUACUAUAGCUUGACACUGAACAUUGAGCCUUGAUGUGUAGGAUAGGUGGGAGGCUUUGAAGUGUGGACGCCAGUCUGCAUGGAGCCGACCUUGAAAUACCACCCUUUAAUGUUUGAUGUUCUAACGUUGACCCGUAAUCCGGGUUGCGGACAGUGUCUGGUGGGUAGUUUGACUGGGGCGGUCUCCUCCUAAAGAGUAACGGAGGAGCACGAAGGUUGGCUAAUCCUGGUCGGACAUCAGGAGGUUAGUGCAAUGGCAUAAGCCAGCUUGACUGCGAGCGUGACGGCGCGAGCAGGUGCGAAAGCAGGUCAUAGUGAUCCGGUGGUUCUGAAUGGAAGGGCCAUCGCUCAACGGAUAAAAGGUACUCCGGGGAUAACAGGCUGAUACCGCCCAAGAGUUCAUAUCGACGGCGGUGUUUGGCACCUCGAUGUCGGCUCAUCACAUCCUGGGGCUGAAGUAGGUCCCAAGGGUAUGGCUGUUCGCCAUUUAAAGUGGUACGCGAGCUGGGUUUAGAACGUCGUGAGACAGUUCGGUCCCUAUCUGCCGUGGGCGCUGGAGAACUGAGGGGGGCUGCUCCUAGUACGAGAGGACCGGAGUGGACGCAUCACUGGUGUUCGGGUUGUCAUGCCAAUGGCACUGCCCGGUAGCUAAAUGCGGAAGAGAUAAGUGCUGAAAGCAUCUAAGCACGAAACUUGCCCCGAGAUGAGUUCUCCCUGACUCCUUGAGAGUCCUGAAGGAACGUUGAAGACGACGACGUUGAUAGGCCGGGUGUGUAAGCGCAGCGAUGCGUUGAGCUAACCGGUACUAAUGAACCGUGAGG